GAGGACCGAACCGACUAAUGUUGAAAAAUUAGCGGAUGACUUGUGGCUGGGGGUGAAAGGCCAAUCAAACCGGGAGAUAGCUGGUUCUCCCCGAAAGCUAUUUAGGUAGCGCCUCGUGAAUUCAUCUCCGGGGGUAGAGCACUGUUUCGGCAAGGGGGUCAUCCCGACUUACCAACCCGAUGCAAACUGCGAAUACCGGAGAAUGUUAUCACGGGAGACACACGGCGGGUGCUAACGUCCGUCGUGAAGAGGGAAACAACCCAGACCGCCAGCUAAGGUCCCAAAGUCAUGGUUAAGUGGGAAACGAUGUGGGAAGGCCCAGACAGCCAGGAUGUUGGCUUAGAAGCAGCCAUCAUUUAAAGAAAGCGUAAUAGCUCACUGGUCGAGUCGGCCUGCGCGGAAGAUGUAACGGGGCUAAACCAUGCACCGAAGCUGCGGCAGCGACGCUUAUGCGUUGUUGGGUAGGGGAGCGUUCUGUAAGCCUGUGAAGGUGUGCUGUGAGGCAUGCUGGAGGUAUCAGAAGUGCGAAUGCUGACAUAAGUAACGAUAAAGCGGGUGAAAAGCCCGCUCGCCGGAAGACCAAGGGUUCCUGUCCAACGUUAAUCGGGGCAGGGUGAGUCGACCCCUAAGGCGAGGCCGAAAGGCGUAGUCGAUGGGAAACAGGUUAAUAUUCCUGUACUUGGUGUUACUGCGAAGGGGGGACGGAGAAGGCUAUGUUGGCCGGGCGACGGUUGUCCCGGUUUAAGCGUGUAGGCUGGUUUUCCAGGCAAAUCCGGAAAAUCAAGGCUGAGGCGUGAUGACGAGGCACUACGGUGCUGAAGCAACAAAUGCCCUGCUUCCAGGAAAAGCCUCUAAGCAUCAGGUAACAUCAAAUCGUACCCCAAACCGACACAGGUGGUCAGGUAGAGAAUACCAAGGCGCUUGAGAGAACUCGGGUGAAGGAACUAGGCAAAAUGGUGCCGUAACUUCGGGAGAAGGCACGCUGAUAUGUA
RNAcentral lists this ribosomal RNA (992 nucleotides) under Escherichia coli. RNAcentral's name for it is "partial 23S ribosomal RNA". It matches the Rfam family "Bacterial large subunit ribosomal RNA", at positions 769 to 1760 of the family's 2925-position model. Lineage: Bacteria; Pseudomonadati; Pseudomonadota; Gammaproteobacteria; Enterobacterales; Enterobacteriaceae. The record is from RNAcentral.